UACGUAGGGAUCAAGCGUUGUUCGGAUUUACUGGGCGUAAAGGGCGCGUAGGCGGCAAUUCAAGUCAUCUGUGAAAUCUCCGGGCUUAACCCGGAACGGUCAGAUGAUACUGCUUUGCUAGAGUGCGGAAGGGGCAAUCGGAAUUCUUGGUGUAGCGGUGAAAUGCGUAGAUAUCAAGAGGAACACCUGAGGUGAAGACGGGUUGCGUGGGCCGACACUGACGCUGACAGCGCGAAAGCCAGGGGAGCAAACGGG
This 255-nucleotide ribosomal RNA is filed under the name uncultured bacterium. RNAcentral describes it as "partial 16S ribosomal RNA". It matches the Rfam family "Bacterial small subunit ribosomal RNA", at positions 524 to 776 of the family's 1533-position model. The record is from RNAcentral.